This 431-nucleotide ribosomal RNA is filed under the name uncultured bacterium. RNAcentral's name for it is "partial 16S ribosomal RNA". It matches the Rfam family "Bacterial small subunit ribosomal RNA", at positions 29 to 507 of the family's 1533-position model. The record is from RNAcentral.
ACGAACGCUGGCGGCAUGCCUCACACAUGCAAGUCGAACGAGACCUUCGGGUCUAGUGGCGCACGGGUGCGUAACGCGUGGGAACCUGCCCUUAGGUUCGGAAUACUCCCCGAAAGGGGUGCUAAUACCGGAUAAUGUCUUCGGACCAAAGAUUUAUCGCCUUUGGAUGGGCCCGCGUUGGAUUAGCUAGUUGGUAGGGUAAAAGCCUACCAAGGCGACGAUCCAUAGCUGGUCUGAGAGGAUGAUCAGCCACACUGGGACUGAGACACGGCCCAGACUCCUACGGGAGGCAGCAGUGGGGAAUAUUGGACAAUGGGCGAAAGCCUGAUCCAGCAAUGCCGCGUGAGUGAUGAAGGCCUUAGGGUUGUAAAGCUCUUUUACCCGGGAUGAUAAUGACAGUACCGGGAGAAUAAGCUCCGGCUAACUCCGUG